Molecule: ribosomal RNA, 253 nt
Filed under: uncultured bacterium
Lineage: Bacteria
Description: partial 16S ribosomal RNA
Rfam family: Bacterial small subunit ribosomal RNA
Source: RNAcentral
UACGGAGGGGGCUAGCGUUGUUCGGAAUUACUGGGCGUAAAGCGCACGUAGGCGGCUUUGUAAGUUAGAGGUGAAAGCCUGGUGCUCAACACCAGAACUGCCUUUGAUACUGCAUGGCUUGAAUCCGAGAGAGGUGAGUGGAAUUCCGAGUGUAGAGGUGAAAUUCGUAGAUAUUCGGAAGAACACCAGUGGCGAAGGCGGCUCACUGGCUCGGUAUUGACGCUGAGGUGCGAAAGCGUGGGGAGCAAACAGG